Molecule: ribosomal RNA, 749 nt
Filed under: Salmonella enterica subsp. enterica serovar Typhimurium
Lineage: Bacteria; Pseudomonadati; Pseudomonadota; Gammaproteobacteria; Enterobacterales; Enterobacteriaceae
Description: bacterial LSU rRNA
Rfam family: Bacterial large subunit ribosomal RNA
Source: RNAcentral
GGGUUGUGAGGUUAAGCGACUAAGCGUACACGGUGGAUGCCCUGGCAGUCAGAGGCGAUGAAGGGCGUGCUAAUCUGCGAUAAGCGCCGGUAAGGUGAUAUGAACCGUUAUAACCGGCGAUACCCGAAUGGGGAAACCCAGUGUGAUUCGUCACACUAUCAUUAACUGAAUCCAUAGGUUAAUGAGGCGAACCGGGGGAACUGAAACAUCUAAGUACCCCGAGGAAAAGAAAUCAACCGAGAUUCCCCCAGUAGCGGCGAGCGAACGGGGAGGAGCCCAGAGCCUGAAUCAGCAUGUGUGUUAGUGGAAGCGUCUGGAAAGGCGCGCGAUACAGGGUGACAGCCCCGUACACAAAAGCGCAUGUGCUGUGAGCUCGAUGAGUAGGGCGGGACACGUGGUAUCCUGUCUGAAUAUGGGGGGACCAUCCUCCAAGGCUAAAUACUCCUGACUGACCGAUAGUGAACCAGUACCGUGAGGGAAAGGCGAAAAGAACCCCGGCGAGGGGAGUGAAAAAGAACCUGAAACCGUGUACGUACAAGCAGUGGGAGCACCCUUCGGGGUGUGACUGCGUACCUUUUGUAUAAUGGGUCAGCGACUUAUAUUCUGUAGCAAGGUUAACCGUAUAGGGGAGCCGGAGGGAAACCGAGUCUUAAUUGGGCGUUAAGUUGCAGGGUAUAGACCCGAAACCCGGUGAUCUAGCCAUGGGCAGGUUGAAGGUUGGGUAACACUAACUGGAGGACCGAACCGAC